UACGACGUAUCAGAGUUUGAUCCUGGCUCAGGAUGAACGCUAGCGGCAGGCUUAACACAUGCAAGUCGAGGGGCAGCAUAAAACAUUGCUUGCAAUGUUUGGUGGCGACCGGCGCACGGGUGCGUAACGCGUAUGCAACCUACCUAUAACAGGGGGAUAACACUGAGAAAUUGGUACUAAUACCCCGUAAUAUUAUUAAAGGCAUCUUUGAUAGUUGAAAGUUCCGGCGGUUAUAGAUGGGCAUGCGUUGUAUUAGCUAGUUGGUGAGGUAACGGCUCACCAAGGCGACGAUACAUAGGGGGACUGAGAGGUUAACCCCCCACAUUGGUACUGAGACACGGACCAA
Molecule: ribosomal RNA, 346 nt
Filed under: uncultured bacterium
Lineage: Bacteria
Description: bacterial SSU rRNA
Rfam family: Bacterial small subunit ribosomal RNA
Source: RNAcentral